AAAUGACUCUCGGCAACGGAUAUCUCGGCUCUCGUAUCGAUGAAGAACGUAGCGAAAUGCGAUACUUGGUGUGAAUUGCAGAAUCCCGUGAACCAUCGAGUCUUUGAACGCAAGUUGCGCCUGAAGCCUUAUGGCUAAGGGCACGUCUGCCUGGGCGUCACACAU
RNAcentral lists this ribosomal RNA (165 nucleotides) under Orobanche caryophyllacea. RNAcentral's name for it is "5.8S ribosomal RNA". It matches the Rfam family "5.8S ribosomal RNA". Rfam says of the family: 5.8S ribosomal RNA (5.8S rRNA) is a component of the large subunit of the eukaryotic ribosome. It is transcribed by RNA polymerase I as part of the 45S precursor that also contains 18S and 28S rRNA. Functionally, it is thought that 5.8S rRNA may be involved in ribosome translocation. Lineage: Eukaryota; Viridiplantae; Streptophyta; Magnoliopsida; Lamiales; Orobanchaceae. The record is from RNAcentral. RNAcentral also lists the same sequence under 4 other names.